UGGACUUUCCAUUGAAUUUUGGGUGGCCGUGGCCAAAUCGGUACAAACGAUAUUUCUUUCAUUUUUCCUUGUUUAAUUAAAUAAAACUUUUUAUUCUAAUCCGUCUCCAAAAUGGUUUUAGUCUCAGACCGAGUAUCUAGACCUGUCUUCUUCUUCUCUCUCUAACUCUGCUAUUUUCGAUCUUCAUCUCUUCGAUGGCCGCUCCGAGUCGGAGCCUCCGACCACAACGACCACACCCACCUCUCUUAUCCCCUCUCUAAUCAUUUCAUCUUUUGCCAGUCACUUAAAAUUAAAAAGCUGUUUCUCACUCUCUCUUGAAGCUUCUCAAUCUGGAUCUGGCAUAUCGCUGGACCAUCAACCAUCGUCUUCUCUUUUUCCUGCACUUUCCCUCACACUUUCAGAUUGACUUUCCAUGCCGAGUUCAGUCCCUCUGAUAUCUAUUUAGAUCGCCAUGGAUUCUUCUUUUCAAAACCAAACAAGGCUACCUUUCUACUGUCAUCGCACAGAGUUGGUAUUCAAGAUUAUGAAUUUCCUAAAGCCAAGGUAAUUCUUUUAUUUCUCCAGGAGCAAAGCUCCACUUAAUCCCCCUUGCCUUGCCGUACCACUUUCAAAAAAUAGCUCAGGU
Rosa chinensis is the source of this 625-nucleotide long non-coding RNA. RefSeq lists it as uncharacterized. NCBI's taxonomy places the organism in Eukaryota, Viridiplantae, Streptophyta, Magnoliopsida, Rosales, Rosaceae. The transcript is spliced from 4 exons. The record is from RefSeq and is a predicted model, not a curated record.